CCGCGUCACGUUGAAACACUGGUUCCCAUACUAUCACCGAAGUUAAGAAACGUCGAACCAGGUUGGUACUUAGGUGGGUGAUAGUUUGGGAAUACCAGGUGCU
Non-coding RNA from Acanthosepion pharaonis, 103 nucleotides. NCBI's taxonomy places the organism in Eukaryota, Metazoa, Mollusca, Cephalopoda, Sepiida, Sepiidae. The record is from the annotation of a GenBank genome assembly.